Molecule: ribosomal RNA, 253 nt
Filed under: uncultured bacterium
Lineage: Bacteria
Description: partial 16S ribosomal RNA
Rfam family: Bacterial small subunit ribosomal RNA
Source: RNAcentral
UACGUAGGGGGCUAGCGUUGUCCGGAAUUACUGGGCGUAAAGCGCGCGCAGGCGGUCUUCCAAGUCAGUGGUGAAAGCCUGGAGCUCAACUCCAGAACUGCCAUUGAAACUGUUAGACUUGAGUACGAGAGAGGUGAGUGGAAUUCCCAGUGUAGAGGUGAAAUUCGUAGAUAUUGGGAAGAACACCGGUGGCGAAGGCGGCUCUCUGGGCCUUACCUGACGCUGAGGAGCGAAAGCGUGGGUAGCGAACAGG